ACACGAUAAGACUAAACCGUCCGCGAGGGCGGGGCGGAAAGCCUAGGGUCUCCUAGAGACAGCCGGGAUGCCGAA
Molecule: regulatory RNA element, 75 nt
Organism: Geobacter sulfurreducens PCA
Lineage: Bacteria; Pseudomonadati; Thermodesulfobacteriota; Desulfuromonadia; Geobacterales; Geobacteraceae
Rfam family: c-di-GMP-I riboswitch aptamer
About the family: GEMM was predicted in a large-scale screen for bacterial structured RNA regulatory elements. Genes associated with GEMM are involved in a diverse array of functions, including chemotaxis regulation, signal transduction, secretion and chitin.
Source: Rfam